AUGAAGGUGAUUUGGCGUUGAGAUUUGAUUAUGGGGCCGAGAAUAUAUCGUGGGAGAUUGUAAAUGAAGGGCCUUCGACAAAGCACAAGAUUGAAAUUGAUUGGUCCAACAUCAUUGGGAUUCAAGCUUCUACUGAAGAUCACAGACAAGGAACCCUCCAACUUGAGCUAUUAUAUCCGCCAAAAUUCUACAAAGAAGUCAAUGUUAAUCUAGAGACACACGGUACUAGUAAAUGGAUUGAGGGAUCAGAUUUUACUGAAGAUCACCAAGCUUCUAAAUGCAGGAGGCAUUUGGCUGCGUUUCCACCUGGAGUGUUGAACGAGCAGUUGGAGAAACUAAUAAAGUAUGAUGAGCGAUUGUAUGAACUGUGCCAUCGUCGAUUUCCAACGUUUGAA
Non-coding RNA from Momordica charantia (bitter melon), 395 nucleotides. The record is from RefSeq and is a predicted model, not a curated record. NCBI's taxonomy places the organism in Eukaryota, Viridiplantae, Streptophyta, Magnoliopsida, Cucurbitales, Cucurbitaceae.